GUGGAUGUACCAGAGUGGCUUAAUGGCUCAGACUGCAAAUCUGUUGAUUCAGGAGUUCGAAUCUCCUCAUCCACUCA
Molecule: transfer RNA, 77 nt
Filed under: Crassvirales sp.
Lineage: Duplodnaviria; Heunggongvirae; Uroviricota; Caudoviricetes; Crassvirales
Description: tRNA-Cys
Rfam family: tRNA
About the family: Transfer RNA (tRNA) molecules are approximately 80 nucleotides in length.
Source: RNAcentral